Molecule: ribosomal RNA, 329 nt
Filed under: uncultured eukaryote
Lineage: Eukaryota
Description: partial 18S ribosomal RNA
Rfam family: Eukaryotic small subunit ribosomal RNA
Source: RNAcentral
CCCUUAGAUGUUCUGGGCUGCACGCGCGCUACACUGAUACUUUCAGCGAGUCCACCACCUUGCCUGGGAGGGUGGGGUAACCUCUGGAAAGUGCAUCGUGAUGGGGAUCGAUUAUUGUAAUUAUUAAUCUUCAACGAGGAAUUCCUAGUAAGCAUGUGUCAUCAGCCCGUGCUGAUUACGUCCCUGCCCUUUGUACACACCGCCCGUCGCUCCUACCGAUUGAAUGGUCCGGUGAAGCGUUCGGACCGUGGCCUUUGGACGGUUCGCCGUCUGUUGGCUGCGGGAAGUUCGUUAAACCUUAUCAUUUAGAGGAAGGAGAAGUCGUAACA